Molecule: ribosomal RNA, 253 nt
Filed under: uncultured bacterium
Lineage: Bacteria
Description: partial 16S ribosomal RNA
Rfam family: Bacterial small subunit ribosomal RNA
Source: RNAcentral
UACAGAGGUCCCAAGCGUUGUUCGGAUUCACUGGGCGUAAAGGGUGCGUAGGUGGCCAGGUAAGUUUGAUGUGAAAUCUCCGGGCUUAACCCGGAAAGUGCAUUGAAUACUAUCUGGCUAGAGGAUUGGAGGGGAGACUGGAAUUCUCGGUGUAGCAGUGAAAUGCGUAGAUAUCGAGGGGAACACCAGUGGCGAAGGCGAGUCUCUGGACAAUUCCUGACACUGAGGCACGAAAGCUAGGGGAGCAAACAGG